UGACUCUAGGAGCCUUUCAUUCCAAAGGUGCAAGCACUCCAUUUCUCACCUUGGCUGCUUCUGAACGCUGAAUUAACACUUCUGAGUGCUCGUAAUAGCCCAAGGAGCUCAAGUUGACCAGGUUUUACUGCCAAUUUGAGAUCCAACACUGGCAGCCAGGUUUUUCCAGUGCAUCUUUGAUCAUUGGCAGAUUCUGCCUGGAGAUCCUUGCUAAGUUGUGCCUGAAACAAGUAAAGGUAAAGGUUUCAAGGAGUCUGUUCCACCUUUGAAUAUCUUCCUAGGAAAGUUGUAAUUACUUCAGUUUCAUGGUGUGUGAUGCACUGCCCAGUUUUGUCCUGACAGUUUCUUCUUAAAAACAGGAAGGAAAUAGAAAUUUUUUUAAAGCGUCACAUUGAAUGCACAUAGUGUUAAAGUGUGGUGAUGACAUGAUCACCUAAUUUAAACAAAAUAAAAAUUACAUCCUAAUUUGACUUUUGUGGGUU
This 482-nucleotide long non-coding RNA is filed under the name Cyanistes caeruleus (blue tit). Its description in RNAcentral is "lncRNA (ENSCCEG00000018330.1)". The record is from RNAcentral. Lineage: Eukaryota; Metazoa; Chordata; Aves; Passeriformes; Paridae.